GGGCCCGCACAAGCAGCGGAGCAUGUGGUUUAAUUCGAAGCAACGCGAAGAACCUUACCAAGGCUUGACAUCCACUGACGAAUGUAGAGAUACAUUUUCCCUUCGGGGCAGUGAGACAGGUGGUGCAUGGUUGUCGUCAGCUCGUGUCGUGAGAUGUUGGGUUAAGUCCCGCAACGAGCGCAACCCUUAUGAAUAGUUGCCAGCGAGAGAGACGGGAACUCUAUUCAGACUGCCGGGGACAACUCGGAGGAAGGUGGGGACGACGUCAAAUCAUCAUGCCCCUUACGUCUUGGGCUACACACGUGCUACAAUGGCCGGUACAAAGAGCAGCGAAUUCGCAAGGACAAGCGAAUCUCAAAAAGCCGGUCUCAGUUCGGAUUGUGGGCUGCAACCCGCCCACAUGAAGUCGGAGUUGCUAGUAAUCGCGAAUCAGCAUGUCGCGGUGAAUGCGUUCCCGGGCCUU
This 463-nucleotide ribosomal RNA is filed under the name uncultured bacterium. RNAcentral describes it as "bacterial SSU rRNA". It matches the Rfam family "Bacterial small subunit ribosomal RNA", at positions 917 to 1382 of the family's 1533-position model. The record is from RNAcentral.